RNAcentral lists this ribosomal RNA (292 nucleotides) under uncultured microorganism. RNAcentral's name for it is "partial 16S ribosomal RNA". It matches the Rfam family "Bacterial small subunit ribosomal RNA", at positions 505 to 796 of the family's 1533-position model. The record is from RNAcentral.
GUGCCAGCAGCCGCGGUAAUACGUAGGGUGCGAGCGUUAAUCGGAUUUACUGGGCGUAAAGCGUGCGCAGGCGGCCCGUUAAGACAGGUGUGAAAUCCCUGGGCUCAACCUAGGAAUUGCGCUUGUGACUGGCGGGCUCGAGUACGGUAGAGGGGGGUGGAAUUCCUGGUGUAGCAGUGAAAUGCGUAGAGAUCAGGAGGAACACCGAUGGCGAAGGCAGCCCCCUGGGCCUGUACUGACGCUCAUGCACGAAAGCGUGGGGAGCAAACAGGAUUAGAUACCCUGGUAGUCC